Molecule: long non-coding RNA, 519 nt
Filed under: Anolis carolinensis (green anole)
Lineage: Eukaryota; Metazoa; Chordata; Lepidosauria; Squamata; Anolidae
Description: lncRNA (ENSACAG00000034715.1)
Source: RNAcentral
AUGGCAAUUUACAUCCACCAGCUCUUCCUCAUGGCUGCUGAUUUAACGCUGGCCUCCGCCGUCUCCUGUGCUCUGUAUGGACUAGCCUGUGUAUCUGUUGCCAGUCUUGUGGGUUUGCUGUUCUUCCUGCUUUCUGUUGGUGCUAUAAAGUGUGUGAAGAGGACCAUUGCCCGAAAAGUCAAUACCAUCCAGACCUUGGUUUCUAAAAGCACCCUAGGAAGUUUGCUUUUGAGGAAACGAGACCAAACGGGGCUCGGAGAAUUGGCAGUGGCCCAUGCCCCUGAGAAAGGCAGGGAUUUUGAACUGGAAAAGGAGUGUUCUUCAAACAUGGAAGUGGCACAACUGCAAGAGACGAAGGAGAAAUGUCAGAAGGCAAGGCACACCCUGACUGAAAGACCGCUCUCUCUGAAAGCGGUCUUCAUUGCCCUUCUCUGGACUCCAGUUGAAAUAAUGUGCCCAUGUCUGAAGAAGAGAAUUUAUCAGUUUCUUGAUGCACUGCAGAAAUCAGAAGACUGACAG